RNAcentral lists this ribosomal RNA (264 nucleotides) under uncultured archaeon. RNAcentral describes it as "partial 16S ribosomal RNA". It matches the Rfam family "Archaeal small subunit ribosomal RNA", at positions 714 to 982 of the family's 1478-position model. The record is from RNAcentral.
AGACGUCUACAUUAGAUACCCCCGUAGUCCCAGCCGUAAACUAUGCGCGUUAGGUGUAUCGGUGACCACGAGUUACCGAGGUGCCGAAGGGAAACCGUGAAACGUGCCGCCUGGGAAGUACGGUCGCAAGGCUGAAACUUAAAGGAAUUGGCGGGGAGCACCACAACAGGUGGAGCCUGCGGUUUAAUUGGACUCAACGCCGGGAAGCCCACCGGAUAGGACAGCAGAAUGAUUGCCGGGCUGAAGACCCUGCAUGACUAGCUG